Molecule: long non-coding RNA, 2857 nt
Organism: Ailuropoda melanoleuca (giant panda)
Lineage: Eukaryota; Metazoa; Chordata; Mammalia; Carnivora; Ursidae
Exons: 5
Source: RefSeq, a predicted model, not a curated record
GCGGCGGGGCCACCGGCGAGUCCAGCGCCGCCGCAGCCCCCCAAUGCGGCCGCGAGAAGCAGCGGGGGGGGCCGGCGAUCGAAGGUUCGUCUGGGUCCCGUUUCUCUCUUUGAAAUGUGGUGAGGACAGCUGACGUGCUCCCGCUGCUUUCUGAGCAACCCUGUGAAGUCACUAGAAGCAUCAUCUCCUGGAAGACCAGCGUUCUUGUGAUGAUGGAGGCUUGUCUGUUCUUUCUGUGACUGGAGCAAUGCUGACCUCGGUUUCCUGGACCCAUUCCGACUCAGGUCCUCAAGGUCUGGCAGUGAACAUGACAAAUGACGGCUGGCCUCUGGGGAAUCUCACAUGGACCUGUUAAUUUUUAUGGCACAAAUUCUUAUAACUAAAGGGGCCAUCAUGGUGUGUGUGCUGGCUGGAUAAACAUCUCAGUCAUUUUCUGGAUCACCUGUCCACAGUGCACGCAUCUGUACAGGCGCUUUGUAGGUGUCUGGAAACAAUGGACUAGCUGGUGAUGCUCUGAGUAGAGUCGCUUUGAAGGAGAAAGGAGGAACAUCGUGUUUAAAGAAGAGGCUGUUGCUGAUGUCAGUUAUUAACCCGUGGCUCCGGAAAGGGCAAGUUGAACUGUAUUGGGUAACUUUUCUGAUAAUUAUGAUUGUAACAGGUGCAUGGGCCAUAGUGUGAGUUGGAGUUUUUAAUAAAGGUGAUAUAAUUAGUUCCCAUUUUCUGAGAACCUACUGUAAACCAGACAUGCUGGAUGUCUGCCAUAUAUUAGUCCCAUCUUCCCCAAAGCCCUGGAAGGUGGUUGUUGCUAUUUUGCUCCGUGGAAGAAGAAGAAAAGGCUCACAAAGGUUAAGUGACUCGCCCAGGACCAUACAGCGUAUACAUCGCUAACCCAGCCCUGACUGUCUCCUAAAACUGUGCCUUUCCACUUCCUCAUUGGUUCACUUACUCAUUAAAAAAAAAAUUUGCUGAGCACGUACUAUGUGCUGGUGCUGGGGAUGCCAUGGCGAAUGUGAUGGAUGAGGUCUUCGUUUCGUGGAGCUUAUACCAGACAGUGGUGGCCUUCCAGAGCCUGGGACCCUGCUUAAACUAGGCAAAGGGGAGAAUGGGAUCCAAGACAUAAUAUGAAGGCCUUGAACCUCCAAGGCCCAACGCCUCUUUUGUAGUUAGGAUUUAAUCAGGCACAUAACUACAGAGAUAUGGAUCCUCUAAGGUUUAGUUAUUUAUCAGUGUGUGUUAAAGGGAAAGUUCAAUUAUAGUAGGAGAUCCAGAAUGGGCAUUUUGGGGUUGGCAAGCUUGUAGUUUAAAGACUCAGGCUGACUUGAGGACAGCCUGCAGAAGGUGGGCCAUCUGGCCGCCAUCUUGGUAGUCUUGUCACCUUGCUUUCCUGUGCCUGCCGCCCACCCAGCACUUAGCACUGGCCCCAGGCCUUUGGACAGGUGAGGAAGCUGAUGUCUACUCGUCUAGCUGGCACCCCUCAGUGGUACUCCACGGGCUGUGUAGACACUGGUGUGGAGCUGUCCUGGUUCUUGUGGCAGGUUUAGUAUGUCCGGCCCACCUGUUAGAUGCUGGUAGCAUCUGCCUUCUCUGCAUCGUUGUGACAGGCCAAACCAUCCCUGCAUAUUUCCAUAUAUUCAGUUCUCCAGUUGAGAACCUCAAAAAUGUGCUUGUUUUUCCUACACUGAAACCCUUUUGCUCUCUUACCUUGGCUGACUCUACACUAGCUCCAGAUGAUGCCAGUAGUAAGACUCUUCUCGAUUGUUCCUUUUCCCACGGUGUCCUGAUUUCAGGCCCUGGCUCUGUCCAGUAUUUCAACAAAUGCCCAUUGAGUACCCCUUUCAUGGAGGCUCUGGUCAGGGAGGGGUCAAGGUCUUUUUAAGAGAGAAUAUCAGAAAUGAUUCCCUUCAAGCCCUUAAUCUCAUUGAUGACAGAACCAGAACAUGGGAAAAAAAUUGUGCAAGCCAACACUCCCAGCUCAUAGUCCCGCAUUCUGUCCAUCACAGAGGCCACUUCUCAAGCACAAAGCAGCUUUAGUGUGAAAGUAUUGGAAGAGUUGGGAUUUUGAACUAUUUAUCCUGGAAUUGCAGAGAUGAAAUACAUACCCCAUAGCCACUAUUCUCUAGAACUUGUAAGAAACACAGCCCUUAGUCCCACUGUAGCAUAAGAUGAGGGACAAAGACAGUGUGGUAGAUAAUUAAACAAUGUGAAGAUGGAGGAAUUCACUUUUUAAAUUCCGAUUGCAUUUUAUUGUUCAAUGUUAAAAAAUAAAAACAUUAAAAUCCUAGCAAGUUUAGAUAUGCUUGUCAUGGAAAGUUUAAAGUCCCUAAUGAUCCACCCAUCAAAGAUUUUCUUUGUGCAUAUAUUAGCCUAUCUAAUACUACCUUACAAAAAAUAGGCUUGCUUCUCCGUUUGCAAUGUGUUGUUCUCUCUGAGCAUCUAUUCCCAUAAACACCUCAGUUUACCUGUUUCUUUUGCAAGCUGCAAGUGUUCCAUUCUAUGGACGAACCAGGAUUUACUAAUUGAUCCUUUUCUGAUGGACACGGAGUUCUUUCCAGUUUUCCUCUAUUGCAGACGAUGCUGAAAUAAUUCUUGCACAUGCAUAUUUUUGCACAGUUGUGCAUUUCUGGACAACACAUCCCUGCAAGAAGAACUGUAAGUCAAAGCCAAGGUGCAUUUUUAAUUUUAAUAAAUAUUGCUAAAUAUCACUCCCCAAAUGGCAGGACUUAACUGACGCUUGCUCCCAUCAACACUGAACGGGAGUGCCUCUUUCUUUACGUCGUCGUCCACACUGGUUUUCACAGCUUUUAAAUUUUGGAACUAAAUAUUUUUAAAGAGACAAUGUUCUCAUUUGGUACAAUUU